Molecule: unclassified non-coding RNA, 390 nt
Filed under: soil metagenome
Description: partial contains 5.8S ribosomal RNA, internal transcribed spacer 2, and large subunit ribosomal RNA
Rfam family: 5.8S ribosomal RNA (bases 1-121)
Source: RNAcentral
GAUGAAGAACCGUAGCGAAAUGCGAUAAGUAAUGUGAAUUGCAGAAUUCAGUGAAUCAUCGAAUCUUUGAACGCACCUUGCGCUCCUUGGUAUUCCGAGGAGCAUGCCUGUUUGAGUGUCAUUAAAUUCUCAACCUUAUUGGCUUUUGCUGAUAAUGGCUUGGACUUGGGGGUCUUUUUGCUGGCUUUCAUUAGUCUGCUCCCCUUAAAUGUAUUAGCCGGUGCCCCGCAGUGGAACCGUCUAUUGGUGUGAUAAUUAUCUACGCCGUGGACGUCUGCUAUAAUGGGUUUGCGCUGCUUCUAACCGUCUCUCGGGACAACACAAAUGACAAUUUGACCUCAAAUCAGGUAGGACUACCCGCUGAACUUAAGCAUAUCAAUAAGCGGAGGA